This 244-nucleotide ribosomal RNA is filed under the name uncultured bacterium. RNAcentral's name for it is "partial 16S ribosomal RNA". It matches the Rfam family "Bacterial small subunit ribosomal RNA", at positions 15 to 255 of the family's 1533-position model. The record is from RNAcentral.
GAUCAUGGCUCAGGAUGAACGCUAGCUACAGGCUUAACACAUGCAAGUCGAGGGGCAUCGGGAAGAAAGCUUGCUUUCUUUGCUGGCGACCGGCGCACGGGUGAGUAACACGUAUCCAACCUGCCCUUUACUCGGGGAUAGCCUUUCGAAAGAAAGAUUAAUACCCGAUGGGAUAAUUAUUCCGCAUGGUUUGAUUAUUAAAGGAUUCCGGUAAAGGAUGGGNUGCGUCUCUAGUUGUUGGUUG